AAACAAUCAAAUAAAAGGAAACAUGGCGGGAGAAAACACAAUUUUUUUUCCCACCAUUCUCAUCCCCGUAGAGCUCCCCCAAAUUGGAGAUAAGCCCAGCGACUGUGAAAACCAAAUAUGGCGUAAGAAGGGCAGGAAAUCACAAUGUUUUAAAUUCAUUCAUCCCCGUCGACCUCUCCCAAAUUGGAGAUAAGCCUGGCAACUGUGAAAACUAAAUCCAGCUUAAGGAAGGCAGGAAAUCACUAAUUUUCCUACCAUUCACCCCCGUCGCCUUCCCCAAAAUUGGAGAGAAGACCGCACCUGUCAAAACCGAAUCCAACGUCUUCUGGCUGUAAAUCGAUUAGCCCAGCCAUUUCGACGGCUUCUUCCGGCUGUGAGGUCAGUUGUGUAUAUUAAACUCAGCACUUUUUGUGUGAUCACUUUUUAAAUUUUCUUGACUUGUUGGCAGCGUUGUUAAGGAGGUGUUUGGAGUUUUACAUGAUGAAGUUUUGAGCUUGGAGCCACUGAUAUGUGUUAAAGUAGAUGUAGCAGAGGAUGUAAAGCUGGCUGAUUUUCAUUUUUAUUGUCAUCCAUGUUCUUGGAGCCACUGAUAUGUGUUAAAGUAGAUGUAGCAGCAUUUAUCAUAAAAAUUGUGUUGGUCGAAUUGUUACUUGUGCAUGGUUUCAAAGUGGUUUUUUGUUAAUAUAUAUUCUUAUUUUUAUGCUCAUGUCUGUGUAUAAGAUCUCAUAUUCUGACUUAUAUUACACACAAAAAGAUUAAGGAGUGUACAACAAAGCACUAUAGAAAUUCAUAACAUUUACUAGAAUGAUGAAUAUAGAAUGAUAGACCUUCACAUUCGUGGUUCACAACAUUUACCAUUGCAAUUUAAUUAUAAAUAACUUCUAUUACAUCAUCCAAAAUGUAGCACCACACUAAUUAUGACAUUUCAUAACAAUGGAAAUACAAAAUGCAACACUAUUAGUCUUUGUACUACAAACGUAACUAGACAACCCUUUCAAUUUAUUAAACAUAAUCCAGCCAACCCCUUUCCAAUUCCCUUCACCACACCAUUUUCCCUUGCGAAAUGUCACGUUCAACAAAAUCUUGGCACUCCGUUUCUCGCUUGUUCGAGCUAGCAUUUCAAGUAUGCUUGACAAAUUUUUCGACGUCCUCGUUCGUUGCCUAAUUCAUUGUUUCAUUAUUGAGACUUGAUUCGCCACUUGAUUCUCCUAGCACAACCCGGUCAAAAUAGCUACAGUUAUUACUGCAUGUUUUGAAUGAGUAUCAACCCACAUUUUUUAUAUCCAUGUUCACACCACCGGCAUUGACAUUCUCUCGGGCAGUUCUCGAGGUAGUGCAACACGCUUCUAUAAUUGUGACAAACUCUAACAUUCCUUCAUCUCAUCGAGAGAUUAGAAACCAUAUAACUCAAAUGAAGCAAGAAGGGACUUAAAUUCAUGUUAACAAUGAAGUUCUGUAAUUAAGACGUGCUAUGAUUUUAAAAAAAAAAUAAUAAAAAAAAAAUGCUCAACACAGAUAAUGAUAUGAGAAAGUAUUAUCAUAAGCAAAUCCAAAUAACAGCAACUAUGAAAUUUACUUGACAUUACUAUGUGAAAAGUCUCGUGAACACCAGAUCCUUUAAAUCUAACUUCAUAAUAGCAGCUAUGCCCGAUAACUAAACAAACAGCUCGAAACUUUAUCAUGUAAAACUUCAAACACCUCAUUAACAAUGCAGCCAACACGUCAAAAGAAAAUUUAAAAAGUGAAUCAGACAAAAAGUGUUGAGUUUAAUAUACACAACUGAUCUCAGAGCCGGAAUAAGCCGUCGAAAUGGCUGGGCUAAUCGAUUUACAGUCAGAAGACGUCGGAUUCGGUUUUGACGGGUACGGGCAUCUCUCUAAUUUUGGGGAGGUCGAUGGGGGUGAAUGGUGGGAAAAUUAGUGAUUUCCUGCCGGAUUUAGUCUUCACAGUCGCCAGGCUUAUCUCCAAUUUGGGGGAGGUCGACGGGGAUGAAUGGAUUUAAACAUUGUGAUUUCCUGCCCUUCUUACGCCAUAUUUGGUCUUCACAGUCGUCGGGCUUAUCUCCAAUUUGGGGGAGCUCGGGGAUGAGAAUGGUGGGAAAAAAAAUUGUGUUUUCCCCCGCCAUGUUUCCUUUUAUUUGAUUGUUUGUUUUUAAAGUGCCACGUAAGAAAUUUUUGAAAUCCUGUAAGCAGCCUGUGAACCAGCCCCUGUACUUGUAGCUUUAUUGAACAAAGAAAUACCC
This 2242-nucleotide long non-coding RNA is filed under the name Olea europaea subsp. europaea. Lineage: Eukaryota; Viridiplantae; Streptophyta; Magnoliopsida; Lamiales; Oleaceae. The record is from RNAcentral.